This 202-nucleotide long non-coding RNA is filed under the name Physcomitrium patens. RNAcentral's name for it is "long non-coding RNA (PPAT_LNC001209)". The record is from RNAcentral. Lineage: Eukaryota; Viridiplantae; Streptophyta; Bryopsida; Funariales; Funariaceae.
AUUUUUAGUUUGAUUGAAGUAAAAAUUAGUGAUAAAAAUUUAGAGUUAGAAUUUUAUACACCAAUCAAUUUUUGAAGAAAUUGAAUUGUUCAACAAGAAGAAAUUUAUAUUAGAAUAUCGACAUCCAAGUUGGAGAAGGAAGGAAGCCAACAUCUAAGUGGUUUAAGAGCUUUUUAUUUUGAAUUGGUAAAUUGAUAUCCUU